UACAGAGGGUGCGAGCGUUGUUCGGAAUUACUGGGCGUAAAGCGCGCGCAGGCGGCUCUUUAAGUCUACCCGUGAAAUGCCGGAGCUCAACUCCGUGCACGCCGGGGGAUACUGGAGAGCUGGAGACGAGUAGAGGCAAGCGGAAUUCCGGGUGUAGCGGUGGAAUGCGUAGAGAUCCGGAAGAACACCGGAGGCGAAGGCGGCUUGCUGGGCUUGGUCUGACGCUGAGGCGCGAAAGCAUGGGGAGCAAACAGG
RNAcentral lists this ribosomal RNA (255 nucleotides) under uncultured bacterium. RNAcentral's name for it is "partial 16S ribosomal RNA". It matches the Rfam family "Bacterial small subunit ribosomal RNA", at positions 524 to 776 of the family's 1533-position model. The record is from RNAcentral.